UUUCCAUGAACAACCAAUAAACUGGAGAUGAGAAUGAACAAGUCGUUUUGUAACCCAAGUUAUAUAUUUUCUUUAAAAAGAGGAGACGGGAGUUCCCGUCGUGGUGCAGUGGUUAACAAAUCCGACUAGGAACCAUGAGCCAUGAUGGGAACUCCCCAAAUUAGAUUUUUAGUCACUGUCAAUGAACCCCAAGUUUAAACAAACUUUUAGAACUAUACUCUUGGUAUUUUAAAGCAAAGUAACAAAAUACAGAAUUAAGUAAGCUAUCAAGCAAUCAGCAAUAAAUAAUUCUACCACCUUACAAAUUAAAAAAAAAAAAAAA
Molecule: non-coding RNA, 322 nt
Organism: Sus scrofa (pig)
Lineage: Eukaryota; Metazoa; Chordata; Mammalia; Artiodactyla; Suidae
Source: RefSeq, a predicted model, not a curated record